This 497-nucleotide ribosomal RNA is filed under the name uncultured bacterium. Its description in RNAcentral is "bacterial SSU rRNA". It matches the Rfam family "Bacterial small subunit ribosomal RNA", at positions 28 to 572 of the family's 1533-position model. The record is from RNAcentral.
AACGAACGCUGGCGGCAUGCCUAACACAUGCAAGUCGAACGAACCCUUCGGGGUUAGUGGCGCACGGGUGCGUAACGCGUGGGAACCUGCCUUUAGGUUCGGAAUAACUCAGAGAAAUUUGAGCUAAUACCGGAUAAUGUCUUCGGACCAAAGAUUUAUCGCCUUUAGAUGGGCCCGCGUUAGAUUAGAUAGUUGGUGGGGUAAUGGCCUACCAAGUCGACGAUCUAUAGCUGGUCUGAGAGGAUGAUCAGCCACACUGGGACUGAGACACGGCCCAGACUCCUACGGGAGGCAGCAGUGGGGAAUAUUGGACGAUGGGCGAAAGCCUGAUCCAGCAAUGCCGCGUGAGUGAUGAAGGCCUUAGGGUUGUAAAGCUCUUUUACCAGGGAUGAUAAUGACAGUACCUGGAGAAUAAGCUCCGGCUAACUCCGUGCCAGCAGCCGCGGUAAUACGGAGGAGCUAGCGUUGUUCGGAAUUACUGGGCGUAAAGCGCGCGU